Molecule: ribosomal RNA, 425 nt
Filed under: uncultured bacterium
Lineage: Bacteria
Description: partial 16S ribosomal RNA
Rfam family: Bacterial small subunit ribosomal RNA
Source: RNAcentral
GUGGGGAAUCUUGCGCAAUGGGCGAAAGCCUGACGCAGCCAUGCCGCGUGAAUGAUGAAGGUCUUAGGAUUGUAAAAUUCUUUCACCGGGGACGAUAAUGACGGUACCCGGAGAAGAAGCUCCGGCUAACUUCGUGCCAGCAGCCGCGGUAAUACGAAGGGGGCUAGCGUUGCUCGGAAUUACUGGGCGUAAAGGGCGCGUAGGCGGACAGCUUAGUCAGAGGUGAAAGCCCAGGGCUCAACCUUGGAAUUGCCUUUGAUACUGGCUGUCUUGAGUUUGGGAGAGGUGAGUGGAACUCCGAGUGUAGAGGUGAAAUUCGUAGAUAUUCGGAAGAACACCAGUGGCGAAGGCGACUCACUGGCCCAAUACUGACGCUGAGGCGCGAAAGCGUGGGGAUCAAACAGGAUUAGAUACCCGGGUAGUCC